GAUCCUGGCUCAGGAUGAACGCUGGCGGCGUGCUUAACACAUGCAAGUCGAGCGAAGCACUUAGGAAAGAUUCUUCGGAUGAUUUCCCAUUUGACUGAGCGGCGGACGGGUGAGUAACGCGUGGGUAACCUGCCUCAUACAGGGGGAUAACAGUUAGAAAUGACUGCUAAUACCGCGUAAGACCACAGCACCGCAUGGUGCAGGGGUAAAAACUCCGGUGGUAUGAGAUGGACCCGCGU
This 239-nucleotide ribosomal RNA is filed under the name uncultured bacterium. RNAcentral describes it as "partial 16S ribosomal RNA". It matches the Rfam family "Bacterial small subunit ribosomal RNA", at positions 15 to 236 of the family's 1533-position model. The record is from RNAcentral.